GACGAACGCUGGCGGCGUGCCUAACACAUACAAGUCAACUUGACUGAAGGAGCAAUCUGACAGUAGAGUGGCGCAAGGGUGCGUAACGCGUAAGUAACUUGCCCAAGGUAAGGAAUAACGUCGAGAAAUCGGCGCUAAUACCUCAUAAUGCAGCGGAUCCGCAUGGAUAUGUUGUUAAAAGGUUUACCGCCUUGGGAUAGGCUUGCGUCUGAUUAGUUAGUUGGUGUGGUAACGGCACACCAAGGCUACGAUCAGUAACUGGUCUGAGAGGAUGAUCAGUCACACUGGAACUGAGACACGGUCCAGACUCCUACGGGAGGCAGCAGUGAGGAAUAUUGGGCAAUGCUCGAAAGAGUGACCCAGCAACGCCGCGUGGAGGAUGAAGGUAUUCUAUAUCGUAAACUCCUGUGAGAGCAGACGAAAGACAGAUUAUAAUCUGGAUGACUGUAUGCUCAGAGGAAGCCCCGGCUAACUACGUGCCAG
RNAcentral lists this ribosomal RNA (483 nucleotides) under uncultured bacterium. Its description in RNAcentral is "bacterial SSU rRNA". It matches the Rfam family "Bacterial small subunit ribosomal RNA", at positions 28 to 511 of the family's 1533-position model. The record is from RNAcentral.